GAUGAACGCUAGCUACAGGCUUAACACAUGCAAGUCGAGGGGAAACGGCAUUAAGUGCUUGCACUUUUUGGACGUCGACCGGCGCACGGGUGAGUAACGCGUAUCCAACCUUCCCAUGACUAAGGGAUAACCUGCCGAAAGGCAGACUAAUACCUUAUGGUCUUCACUGACGGCAUCAGAUGUGAAGUAAAGAUUUAUCGGUUAUGGAUGGGGAUGCGUCUGAUUAGCUUGUUGGCGGGGUAACGGCCCACCAAGGCAACGAUCAGUAGGGGUUCUGAGAGGAAGGUCCCCCACAUUGGAACUGAGACACGGUCCAAACUCCUACGGGAGGCAGCAGUGAGGAAUACUGGUCAAUGGGCGAGAGCCUGAACCAGCCAAGUAGCGUGCAGGAUGACGGCCCUAUGGGUUGUAAACUGCUUUUGUAUGGGGAUAAAGUCAAUCACGUGUGAUUGUUUGCAGGUACCAUACGAAUAAGGACCGGCUAAUUCCGUG
RNAcentral lists this ribosomal RNA (492 nucleotides) under uncultured bacterium. RNAcentral's name for it is "partial 16S ribosomal RNA". It matches the Rfam family "Bacterial small subunit ribosomal RNA", at positions 28 to 507 of the family's 1533-position model. The record is from RNAcentral.